Molecule: non-coding RNA, 129 nt
Organism: Ceratotherium simum simum (southern white rhinoceros)
Lineage: Eukaryota; Metazoa; Chordata; Mammalia; Perissodactyla; Rhinocerotidae
Source: RefSeq, a predicted model, not a curated record
AAAUAUUAUUCAAAGAUAAAAUUGUGCCAUUUUCAACAACAUGGAUUGACCUUGAAGGUAUUAUGGUAAGCGAAAUAAGUUAAACAGAUGUAGACAAAUACUGUAUGAUUUCACUCAUAUGUGGAAGAU